GAUGAACGCUGGCGGCGUGCUUAACACAUGCAAGUCGAACGGAAAGGCCCAAGCUUGCUUGGGUACUCGAGUGGCGAACGGGUGAGUAACACGUGGGUGAUCUGCCCUGCACUUCGGGAUAAGCCUGGGAAACUGGGUCUAAUACCGGAUAGGACGAUGGUUUGGAUGCCAUUGUGGAAAGUUUUUUCGGUGUGGGAUGAGCUCGCGGCCUAUCAGCUUGUUGGUGGGGUAAUGGCCUACCAAGGCGUCGACGGGUAGCCGGCCUGAGAGGGUGUACGGCCACAUUGGGACUGAGAGACGGCCCAGACUCCUACGGGAGGCAGCAGUGGGGAAUAUUGCACAAUGGGCGCAAGCCUGAGGCAGCGACGCCGCGUGGGGGAUGACGGCCUUCGGGUUGUAAACUCCUUUCGCUAGGGACGAAGCGUUUUUGUGACGGUACCUGGAGAAGAAGCACCGGCUAACUACGUG
RNAcentral lists this ribosomal RNA (468 nucleotides) under uncultured bacterium. RNAcentral describes it as "partial 16S ribosomal RNA". It matches the Rfam family "Bacterial small subunit ribosomal RNA", at positions 28 to 507 of the family's 1533-position model. The record is from RNAcentral.